GCUUCCUUGGCUGAAUUGUAAACGUGCCUUCAAUCAGCCGUCUUCCUAGUUCAUGGGGGACCAGGGUUCGAUUCCCUGAGGAAGCG
Molecule: non-coding RNA, 86 nt
Organism: Roridomyces roridus
Lineage: Eukaryota; Fungi; Basidiomycota; Agaricomycetes; Agaricales; Mycenaceae
Source: the annotation of a GenBank genome assembly